CUUCGGGUUGUAAAGUACUUUCAGCAGUGAGGAAGGGGGUAUCGUUAAUAGCGGUAUCUUUUGACGUUACGGGCAGAAGAAGCACCGGCUAACUCCGCMMCAGCAGCCGCGGUAAUACGGAGGGUGCGAGCGUUAAUCGGAAUUACUGGGCGUAAAGCGCAUGCAGGUGGUUUGUUAAGUCAGAUGUGAAAGCCCGGGGCUCAACCUCGGAAUUGCAUUUGAAACUGGCAGGCUAGAGUACUGUAGAGGGGGGUAGAAUUUCAGGUGUAGCGGUGAAAUGCGUAGAGAUCUGAAGGAAUACCGGUGGCGAAGGCGGCCCCCUGGACAGAUACUGACACUCAGAUGCGAAAGCGUGGGGAGCAAACAGGAUUAGAUACCCUGGUAGUCCACGCCGUAAACGAUGUCUACUUGGAGGUUGU
RNAcentral lists this ribosomal RNA (419 nucleotides) under Vibrio fluvialis. RNAcentral's name for it is "bacterial SSU rRNA". It matches the Rfam family "Bacterial small subunit ribosomal RNA", at positions 416 to 827 of the family's 1533-position model. The record is from RNAcentral. Lineage: Bacteria; Pseudomonadati; Pseudomonadota; Gammaproteobacteria; Vibrionales; Vibrionaceae.